Non-coding RNA from Anas platyrhynchos (mallard), 1393 nucleotides. Lineage: Eukaryota; Metazoa; Chordata; Aves; Anseriformes; Anatidae. The record is from RefSeq and is a predicted model, not a curated record.
UACCGCCCUGGAGGUGGUCCCAGACCGAGCACACUGCAUAAAGGUGGGCUCGGAUGGUCGCUGGGGUCGACCUUCCCCAUGCGGACUGAGGCUCUGGGUCGAGACAGCAGCGCUGGAUCCGAGGGCGGUGAUAAUUUCUCACCCAGGGUAAUCCAUGAGAUGAGAUGUGAGUGCAUGGUUCCACAUGUGAGCAGAGCAUCUGUGAGCAGUGGCUGAGUUUGUUACUGAAGUCACAAAACAGCACAAAACGUGUAAUGCUGGAGAAGAAAUAUUGUUUAAAGGAGCAUGGUCCUUCUGCGGAGUUAUGUAUAUGCAAGUGAACUUCCAAUAUGAACACUUGCUACACAAUCUUUUUAAAAAUAAUAAAUUAUAACAUGUUAAGAACAAGUAAAACUUGAAGUCUUCUGACUAUGUAUGUCAAGCUGAUGGCUUUGUAUUAAAUUCAGGACAUAUUUCAGGUAGUAGUAGAUUACUUAGUUUUACAUCAGUAUUACGUGUUAACUCUUCAAAAGAAGCUUUCUGUGUGCACACGUAGUGGUACACACAGAAACACCUCUUUUAUUCAAAUUUAAUAGGGACGUACAGGUGGGGCACUUGUGAGAUCAUUUAUUUCAUUGGUAAGCACUAGAGGCCAUGGUCCAGGGGUUUUGUUCUUUUGAUUAGGUUUUGAUUCAAUAAUAACAGUUCUUAAUAAAUGUACCUAAAAGAGACGGCGAUUAACUUGCAGAAUGUAUCAUAUUGUUUUCCAUGAUGAGUAAUGGAUAAAUGUUUAUAACAAUUUUACACCUAAAUUUGAAGAGUGAUAGAAAAUAACCAGGAUUUAUAUUAAAGGAAUUAUCUGUUUUCUGAGGAUGAUGAUACUUUCCAGAGAAUUCUUUUUCAUAUCUGGGUGGGAAACUAAAUGAAUGUUGUUAAAUCUCACUCAGUAAGAACGAUAACAUCUUCAUUUCACCCCAUACAAGGACAUCAAGAAAACUUAGUCACGGAGAUCACAUUAACAUACACAGGAGCUAAACAAAAGUUAGAUUGUGUCACAGGUUCAUUGCCAGCAUGAUAGCAGGUUCCAGAUUUAGGUCUGAUGAAUAUAAAUCAAAAGAAUGUAAUUCUACACAAUGCAUUAAAAAGUGCUCUGGGCAAACUAUCUCCCACUUGGUUUUAUGUAAAAUUGUCAAAAGCAAUAGUUUCUCCCAAAGAUACGUUCACUCUCCCCAUCCCCAAGUUUCUUUUUCAUUCACUGGGCGCCCUUAUUGGAGACAGUUUUGGAUUUUCCUGUUUCAGAUUUUUCUUUUUGUGUGUGUAGAAAAUGCUCCAAGGGAGUAAUACAAAGAAAGUGGGUGAGACAGCUGAUACCUUGAAACAGGGCUGCUUACUUUAAUUAAAAAAAAAAAAAAAA